CGGGCCUCAUGUUAUUUUCACUAUUUUUUGGAGCCGGAAAUUUAAUAUUCCCGCCCAUGCUCGGCCAUACAGCGGGUCAAAAUAUGUGGAUUGG
RNAcentral lists this small nuclear RNA (94 nucleotides) under Staphylococcus aureus. RNAcentral's name for it is "SARs253". Lineage: Bacteria; Bacillati; Bacillota; Bacilli; Caryophanales; Staphylococcaceae. The record is from RNAcentral.